This 378-nucleotide unclassified non-coding RNA is filed under the name uncultured Chlamydiales bacterium. RNAcentral's name for it is "contains 16S-23S intergenic spacer region". Lineage: Bacteria; Pseudomonadati; Chlamydiota; Chlamydiia; Chlamydiales. The record is from RNAcentral.
UCCUGGUUAACCCAGGCAGUCUCGUUAGAGUCCCCAGCAUUACCUGUUGGCAACUAACAAUAAGGGUUGCGCUCGUUGCGGGACUUAACCCAACACCUCACGGCACGAGCUGACGACAGCCAUGCAGCACCUGUGCAGAGGCCCCGAAGGGCUAUGCCAUCUCUGGAAUAUUCCUCUGCAUGUCAAGCCUAGGUAAGGUUCUUCGCGUUGCAUCGAAUUAAACCACAUGCUCCACUGCUUGUGCGGGUCCCCGUCAAUUCUUUUGAGUUUCACCCUUGCGAGCGUACUCCCCAGGCGGCACACUUAUCGCGUUAGCUUCGGCACGGCUGGGGUUGAGUCCAGCCACACCAAGUGUGCAUCGUUUACGGCAAGGACUAC